CUUACACAGACCAGCUUGCAAAGGUUUGAAGGACACCCUGGGGAUUGCUGAGAUUGCUGUCUCAGUCGUAGGCAGUAGCAUGUAUCACCAGUUGUGGGUUCAGUUUGUGGUUCUUGAGGCGAAUCUUACUCUGAUUUUUACAGAGAAUCAUGUGGUGCGCUUGGGGUGUUAAGUUAGUUUAGCAGUGUAGACUGAUUUCUGUUGGAAUCAUGGUGCUGACUCUCCUCUUUCCAACAGAGGAACAAUGAAGUCAGCUUUUGCAGUUGUGACCUCUGUAGGCUUCCCAGGAGAGCUGUGGGCUGGCAAAAUCCAGCAGCUGAAGGUGCACUCCCUGAGUAAUCAGCUUGCCAGGACUUGGCUGGAUUUGAACCCAGAAAUGCAAAGACUGAGCAAUGGAAAUGAACUGUCAGCAGCUUUUGAAUCCAAUGUGCUGAAUGUUGCCGGGAGCCCAGAAUAAUAAACUGUGUUUCAAGAUGUAGACCUGUGGAUGAAAUAUAUGUUCCAUUAAUGGUUCUGAGAACAAUAUUAUGGAUAAACUCCACAAGCUUCUUGAUCCAGUUUGGUAGCAGAACACAUUGCUUGGAAAUUACAGAACUAUUUCAGCAAGAUUGUAGGGGAGAGUGAUGUUUAUAUUAGAGUUUGCAGGCCUGCUUUUCUUCUGGGGAGAAGAGUCUGAUUUUUAAAAAAAAAGUAUGUAAGAAGUAGGCAUGUAUAGGAGAAGGCCUUUGUUUCAUUCUUAAGAUAUUCUUGAUAUGUUUAGUUUUGUACAAUUUUUAGUUCUUUAAAUGCCUAUGCUGAUUUCUUCAAGAUACGUGUCACUUCAGGUGUUGAUUAGUUUGAACUUUCUUUCCUGAAAAUGAAUAUUUCAACUGUACCUUUAAAGUUGAUUAAAAAACCCCAAACCAACAAUGCUAAUACCAAGCAGCAUUUUAACUUUCAUUCCUAGAUUUAAGUAGCUAAAGGAUCUGAGGAUGAUUCAUAAACACAGAACUGGCUAAGCAAUAAAAAUCAGUGCAUAUAAAACA
This 1025-nucleotide long non-coding RNA is filed under the name Cyanistes caeruleus (blue tit). RNAcentral's name for it is "lncRNA (ENSCCEG00000007951.1)". Lineage: Eukaryota; Metazoa; Chordata; Aves; Passeriformes; Paridae. The record is from RNAcentral.